RNAcentral lists this ribosomal RNA (193 nucleotides) under uncultured bacterium. RNAcentral's name for it is "partial 16S ribosomal RNA". It matches the Rfam family "Bacterial small subunit ribosomal RNA", at positions 335 to 525 of the family's 1533-position model. The record is from RNAcentral.
ACUCCUACGGGAGGCAGCAGUAAGGAAUAUUGGUCAAUGGACGGAAGUCUGAACCAGCCAUGCCGCGUGCAGGAAGAAGGCGCUCUGCGUUGUAAACUGCUUUUAUAUGGGAAGAAUAGGCGCGAUUUAUCGUGUUGUGACGGUACCAUAGGAAUAAGCACCGGCUAACUCCGUGCCAGCAGCCGCGGUAAUG